This 590-nucleotide long non-coding RNA is filed under the name Gallus gallus (chicken). The record is from RNAcentral. Lineage: Eukaryota; Metazoa; Chordata; Aves; Galliformes; Phasianidae.
GCUGUUGCUGCCACCUGGCUUCACUCCACAACUCCAGGGCUGGGAAAUAUCAGAAGUGAUUUCUCCAGGGACCCAUUCCGGAGCUCAAAUUAGCGAUGAACCAUAAACUGACCAAACAUAGGAUUUUGGACUGAAUUUAUGAUGGAUUGUCCCAAGUUUAAUUUCUAGUUCUGUUUUGUUGCUACAAACUUUCAACCCUAGAUUUUCCCCCAGGAUGUACCGUGACCCUAGUUACUACAGAAAUGUUCAUGGAUCAGAGACCCUGCAGUCAACCUUCUUGUUCUGACCAAUCAUUAACCAGGAGGAACAUUGUGGAGCUGCCGCUGCUUUUUCCUGAGUUACUUUAACAGACUGACCACAGGCAUGUUCCUUCGUCCUUAGAAGAGUUCCAGAAGAUUAGUCAGCUAAACCUGACAAGGCUUCUGGGAAGCUGGAAAGGACUUGGCUCAGCAUAUUAGGAACUAAGGUGGGAAAUAGUUCUGAGUGCUGCAAUAUCUGUGCCGUAUGUUCCUCAUUCUUACUGUUUAUUUUUCCAUUAGCCCAAACAUAGCAAUAAACACUUCAUCCAUAUCUACUUCACUGAAAGUUUU